Photinus pyralis (common eastern firefly) is the source of this 5522-nucleotide long non-coding RNA. RefSeq lists it as uncharacterized. The transcript is spliced from 4 exons. Lineage: Eukaryota; Metazoa; Arthropoda; Insecta; Coleoptera; Lampyridae. The record is from RefSeq and is a predicted model, not a curated record.
UACUACUGAGUACGCAAUUGAUUCAAUUUUUUCAAAAAUUUCCCCUUCCCUUAUAAAAAAACUUCACUAGCAACUUUUCACCGGACCGAUAAAUGAUGAACAAGGUCACAGUUGCGCAAUAACAGACGCAUUGUCAGUAUUCAACAUGAAGCCCUGCCUAAUGUUCGUAAUUGCAUGCUUGAUUUUGUUGUACAAUUGGGGCUGUUGUCAUGAUGGCAACGAGAGUUAUCUGCAGAACAACCACGAAGGAUUACCUAUGAAUGUUCUUAUUGAUCCCAAAUGUCCAGAAGGGCAAAUUAAAGUCAACAAAUACUGUAGGAAGGUUUAUCUAUGAGACAUACAUGAUGAUGGAUGGAGUUUAUAGCACUUGGGGUGUAGUGAAACAUUAUAUAGACAUAUAACUUGAAAUUAAUAAACUUAAUUGUAUUUUAACGUUUUGUAUUUGUUGAAAGGGUUUGGAAUUAUUAGUUACCAUUUUUGUAAAUAUAUUUAGCUAUAAUUACGGCAAAAUUUUAUACCUACCUGAUUUAAAUGACGUACCACACACUAUGGUUUUCUAUGAUGUUUCCAUUAUAAUACGUAAUUGUUCCAUUUUCGGGAGCGUGUUUCGGAAACAAAUGACCUUUUAAAUUAAUGAGCAACAUACCUUAUUCCCUUGCUAACCCAUUAUAUUGUUAAAAUUUAAAUAACUAUUAGAACGGACACUUUCUCGUCUGUUUCGGCUUACAGGCUGUAAGACUUCUGUUGUUUCCCACGCACUUUUUUGAAAACUGGAUUUAUGGGUAUUUAGUCAAAAUGUAAUAGAAAACUAGUUAUAAGUUGGUACCUACAUCAUCUGGCAAGGAAGUUCCAAAGCAACAAUUUGAUCGCCAUGAAAACAAAAGAAUUAAUUAAUUAAUUUAAUUCUCAUGCAAACUACACAAUUUGGCCCAAAAGCUGCUUCCACUCCUUAACCUUAACCAAUAUCUUACCUCAAGAUAGCCGAAACUACCCUUCAUUACGAUAGCAUGUUGGUAAUGCUCGUUUUCUCUCAUUUGGAUGGUCAUUUACUACUACUACUUGAUUUAAAUAUCUUCUACGUUGGCCAAACGCGAAAACAAAGGGAAGCGGUGUGAAGGGACAUGUAUUUCGAUCAUAGCGCAUUAGAAAAGUAGGAGGCAUGCUAAUUUGAGGUAUAAUAUCUUGGAAACCGUGAUAAGGACAACGAAUUCUGGUACGAGAUAAAUGACCAAAUUGAACUAAUAAAAUAAUAAACACAGCAAUAUGAACUAGACUAAUUUACAGUAGUUGAAUUAGUAAAUAUAUAUGCUUAACGAAAUUUAUUUCGAAGACUUUCCAUAUGGACCUCGUGUAGUUAUUGCAUUGCGAAGUUUGUAUACGGUCAUAAUUUGUACUCAAUUAGGUUGAAAAUGAUGUGUAAAAUUUGUGCUUGUGGAAGAUACCUAAUUCAAAGCUAAUGUGUUGGUUAUGGCAAAUACAUUUUAUUGUGCGACAGGGUGUAAAUCUUUUAAGCGAAGAACGCCGAACACAACGUUCCAUAAAUUUCCCAAUAAAAAUGAGACGGUAGGGAAACAAACAAAGCUGGGUAGGAAACUGUAAAUAGACAAUGCUUUGGAAAAUAUGCGAAGACCGUUAGUGAAUUUAUGAUUGUACUGAUUACAUUUCGUUAAAAUUUCUAGGCAAGUUAAAUCAUUAAUGUUGCAUAUUGAUUGUUUGCAAAAGGAGGAAUAUUAAAUGCUAUUGCUAUGAAAAUGUAUCCAAUCCAUUGAAAGAUUCAAUGCGUAAAAAGAACCAUCAAAUCGAGACGAAAGGCAAGAUAUGUAGCAAGAUUAUUUAACAAGUAAGAAGCGAUUGAAACUGUUUAUGCUUACACCAACAAAUGAGGAACUACAAGCUAUCGAUGCAUUGCUAACAUUAGUUCAAGUAGAAACUCAAGCAAGUGAACGGAGUAUCUAUAGAGACUUCGAAGUUUAAGUAAGCACACCAUGCAAAUUAACACUCUCUCAGUUUCAGAAAUCAGAAAAAAAGCAUUGUUUGAUUGGAAUAAACAGUUUUUGUAUGGUUCCGGUGCUACAAAAAGAUGUUGGACUACAUAAACCACCAGUUAAGGAUAUCUAGUUUAUCAUGAACACUAAAUUAAAGAAUUUUUGGUGUUCAGCAUGCCUAAAUGUUACGAUCAGUUUAAGGACACCCGAAUUGUGUUGCGCUAUACAGAGGUAUUUAUAUAAACAUUCAUAAUUAUAGUGCCAUAGCAGUUAACUAAUACAAAAAUUAGCGAAUAACAGCAGUUAUGGUGGAAAAACUGUUCUUAAUUGGAGAUAUUUGUAAGAUAAAUAACAUUAAAAUGUACCGUCCACUUUUCCUUUGUGAAAAAUCACAAUUUAAUGAAAAUGACGCCAAUUUAAAUAAACAUGGCAUCUGCAAGAGUAUACAUCGAACGUAUAAAUCAACCUUUGAAAGUGAUCGAGAUACUAGGCAAGAAAUUGCAAUCGAAUUGUCAAUGGCUGCUCUAAUUAUUUUUAUAUUAAUUUAAAAGCAGAGAUUUUGAAAAUUGAUCAUCAUUACGUUGGUUUUGUCAAAGAACAAAAAAUGAUGAAGUUACAGUAUGCAACAUUUGACAUUUCUCUACCAAGUUGUACUUGUGCGAGGUAUUUAUGUCUUUUAGGUAAGUAUAGAUUUCUAUCUACCUAUUGUAAUGGUCCCAGUAUAUUUAUAGGUUUAAGUAUAUAUGUUUAUAAGUUUAUCUUUAUAUAUAGAUCACUUCCAAGAAUCACUCUAACUUUCGUAAUUACAAACCGAUUUCGACCAAACUUUAAGGGUUGGGGUAACUCGUAAAUAUCUCGGUCAAGUUCGUGAAUCAGGCAAUUCCGCCAUCUUGGAACAACAAUAUUUCGGAAAGAAAUCUACCUACACCUGAUCGGCCGUCUCAAGAAAUUUAUUUACUGGGUGAGAGUGCAGUGGGAGUGGAAGAGGGGGAGUGCAGUGUAAGAUGUCGCACUCUUAAUGCAGCUGCAAAAUAUCAAACGGAAACGACGCAGGUACUGGAAAGGCUCUUGUUGCCAUUUAGAAUGGUUCACAAGCUCUUAUCUGCAUGAGGGAUAAUUCUUAACGAUGAUUCACGGGAAAUGUAGAUGCUCUUCUCUGACUUCGGGUAACAAUUUAUACGUUGAAAGUUAAAAGUGACACAGCAGCGAAUGAUGACGUAAAACCAAAUGUAAACGCUUUAGCCAUAAACACCUUGAAAAGAGAAUAACGAAUUUACAGUUAAGGAAAUUAUUUUGAAGACGAAAUUUACCUUCGAUGAAGGCGUAGCUAACUAAACAAAAAGUUCAAUAACGUAUCACAUAAACAUUUGUGAAUUUCCGAUAAUUUCGAUUAUAUAAUUAAUAAAUUAUUAGAAAAACAACGGAACACACGUCUAGAGCACGUGCUGGUCAGAAAAGCAGAAGCGGUACACUCUAUAGGACAGGCGAGAAACUCAAAGAAAUUUUAGCUAUGUAUGAUAAGUUGCCUCUACGGCAGGGGUAUACGUCACAGUGUAGGUGGUUUUGAAAAUAUGCCAUAAAUUGAAAUGUGUUCAACCUGUGUAAUAUUGGAAAUAUUUGGGAAAUCCGUAGCAAAUUUUGAAAUGCUUCGGCCAAUUUGAUUCCCUUUUUAAAAUACUUUCCAAUCGCCUUCUAAUACUAGAGUCGUGGGAUUUACACGUAAAUGGUCACAAUAUCGCAGGUUUCAUUUACUUUGUAGUCAUAUCGUGACUGGACUGAUCUGAUUAAAAGUGAAUAGCCAUCUUAUUUGAGGAAACUGCUAACUACUUGCCAAAUCAACCGACGAAUGAGAGUCGAUUUGAUUCAUAUUCCAACAAAAUUAUUUCUCAUAAAACAUUAACUUAGGAAACGUUAGAUAUUUUCACUCCUAUAGCUUUAAUUUUACUUUUUUAUUGGUCACUUUAAUGAGCGCGAUUUAAACAUGAAUCAUUUGAAAUAUCACAGUUGUUCACAUGAACGCCUUUCUUCGGAUCACCCCAGCUUCAAUUGGCGUCUAGCAUAGAUACAACCGAUACAAUCGACACAUUAAUUAUACCUACCGCUUUUAUGCAGAUUCCAUGUUAAAGAGAUCCACAAUAGGUAAAAUAGGCUAAUCUAAUCGCAAUCAAGAACUACGUCAUUCUAGAAUUUUCCUUGUCAUAUGUAUGAUGUAUAAACGUCAGCACAUUAUCUCACCUAUAGCAUUUACAGUUUAGCAAUUACCAAUAUAAAGUAACGUUUUUUCUAAAUUUGUGCCCAAUCAUGGUUUGCAAAAUCUUGCUGGCAGUUGCAGUAGUGUUGCUCUUAAUAACCAAAAUCGAUGCACAUGAUUUCGCUGUACCGGCAACCGUAAAUGUCGUUUCUCCAACAAAUAUUACCCGAAACAGGUCGAUCAUUCAGGUUCCGUGCAAGGAAGGCUAUGAGCUCAUAAAUGGAAAGUGUCGAAAAGUUUACAAAGACGAUGAGACAGACCUCGUUGAUUAAGUUGGCCAAGAAAAAUCACUUUCCAUUUGGCUACGGAGGUUAAUUAAAAAAAUUAAUUUACUUUAGUAUUAAAUAAAUUAUUAAAACUAUAGAAUUAAUCCAGUUUUAUCUACAGAUGAAAUCCCUGAAACCUUAUCGUUUAUAUGACAUGACCUGAACUUAAAUGUAUAUCAGCGCUAAAGUUAAAAAAAUGAAAUAGACACUUAUCCGAACGAGUUCAAAAUGAUUUUCAUCCGUCUUCCCUUCUUUUUUAACAUGGCCCUAAAUGGAUUUGUAUGGUGCAAACGAAUACGAAAAGGAAAAAUGGUAUCAGUUUGGAAUCCAUUCUUUAAACUGUAGAUUAUGAGGUCGGAUCUGAUCAAUCGGAAAUAAGAGAUACAAGUGUCGCAGAAAAAAGACAACAGUAAGGGAAGAUUUACAAACAUCCACCUUUAAAUGCCAUCAAUAGAACUAACAUAAUAUAAGUCAAUUUUGAUGAAAAUACCUAUCUAUUAAAUGUAGCCUUUCGUUUUACGCAAAGUAAUGUGGCACUGGAAGUCCAAUUUACGGGGCGGGCAAUUCCUCUAUUUGAUUGAAUCUGGCUACACAAUAUCAACCCUUAAAUACCAUCAAUAAAAUUAGGACAUACAUUCUCAGUUUUUUAAAAAUUGUUUAUUAUUGAAGUCAGAAAAAAGGCUUGUUACUAAAUUUUUCACAUUUUAGUGUACCUAGUAGGCGUUCAUAAAAUGUCAAAAUAAUCCAUUGAUGGUUCCUGUAAAUUGCAUACCUAAUAUAGAAUCCUAUAUUGGGCCAUACAUCAUUAUUUUCGUAAUAAAAAAUGCUACUCGAUUCAGUAUGUACUUUUUGUCCGGUCCAUAUAAAAAUAUGAAGAUGGUGAUGGUUUCUCAAAUACGAAACGUCGCAGUGAAAAUCUGUGGGCAUUAUAGAGAAAAAGUUCCAAUGAGGAAGUGUUAUUUAUUUUUUGAUAUCUUUUCAAACAGGGCCAGAAAAAAAAAUAAAAACCAAUAUGAUUAA